RNAcentral lists this unclassified non-coding RNA (237 nucleotides) under Hevea brasiliensis (rubber tree). Lineage: Eukaryota; Viridiplantae; Streptophyta; Magnoliopsida; Malpighiales; Euphorbiaceae. The record is from RNAcentral.
UGUAGCUUUUAUCUUGAUUUGGCUUUGGUACCAUUUUUUUAUGCUCAAGGAAUACCUAGGAAAAUUAUAGAUAAGUUAGUGUUAGAAAGAGUGAGAAGGGAAAUGGGGGACCUAAAAUGACAUGAAGAGAAAUGUUGUAAAAAGAUUUACAAUUUUUGGAUACUGAUAUGGAAUUGGCUUUAAACGGAGCUGAAUGACAAAAAAGUAUUUGUGUAGCCGACCCCAACUAGUUUAGGA